RNAcentral lists this long non-coding RNA (269 nucleotides) under Musa acuminata (dwarf banana). Its description in RNAcentral is "long non-coding RNA (MACU_LNC010493)". Lineage: Eukaryota; Viridiplantae; Streptophyta; Magnoliopsida; Zingiberales; Musaceae. The record is from RNAcentral.
AACAUCAUAGAUUUGGAGGCAUAUACUAUGGCAUCUAAGGAGGCAAUCAAUGCUAAAUUCGAAGCCUUGGAGGCACGAAUGGAGGAUAAGAUUCGGACGCUCUUUACCGAACUCAGAUUGGGCCGACCACUAAGCCCGAAGAAAUCAUAUCAAGGAGAGAGCUUUGCCCAAUCACACCAACCCCAAAGAUAUGACUUCCAAGAGAGGGGAAGCUCUAUGACCAACCCCAACUAUCCAUGCAUGAGAGUGGACUUCCCUAGAUGGGAAGA